GUACUUGCUUCCGCAGCACGUAUGCUAAAAUUGGAACAAUGCAGAGCAGAUUAACAUGGCCCCUAUGCAAGGGUGAUACACAAAUUUAUGGAGUAUUCCAUAUUUUG
Ictidomys tridecemlineatus (thirteen-lined ground squirrel) is the source of this 107-nucleotide small nuclear RNA. The record is from Ensembl. NCBI's taxonomy places the organism in Eukaryota, Metazoa, Chordata, Mammalia, Rodentia, Sciuridae.